UGUGCUCGCGCAUCGAACUACUUACCACCUGUCCUUCUCAAUUGCUUCACGGGUGAUGUUUCGCUCGAUGAUAGUAUCAAGGGUCUGUGUUGCGUGCCUAAAUAAAAGGUAUUGUUGCGUUAGGUUUCUACCAUUGUUCUUGGCAACUCCUCUGUGGGGAAAGUCUUGAACACAAAAAUUGGCGCUUGUUUUCCUUUUGACUUGGCAUUCGUUGCCUUGUUUGCAUUGGUGAAUAAGCUGUCGGUUGAAAUCUUGGAUGCGGAAAAGUUAAUGACGGUGACUCGAAGUAAUUCAGUCCCGCCAAAGCACAUCUGUCCCUCGGGCUAAAGAUGACGGUCAAGACCUCGUCCUUUCUCUCUUUCCUUUGUGUUUGCGGGAAUGCGGCGAGGAAUUGUUGUGAUCGAUGAAUGCUACC
This 415-nucleotide unclassified non-coding RNA is filed under the name Smelowskia tibetica. Its description in RNAcentral is "partial miscellaneous RNA". Lineage: Eukaryota; Viridiplantae; Streptophyta; Magnoliopsida; Brassicales; Brassicaceae. The record is from RNAcentral.